GCUGGAUCCUGGACGAAUCCAAACGCUCCCGGGAUCAGGCAACGACGCACUCAACCCGUCCAAUGUGCCAAACCGUCACGAGGACCCCGGGGUUUCUGACGCCACACGGGUGGACUGGGAAUCUCCGUCAUCGGCGUCCUCGGCCUUGGACUGUCCGUCGGUUACCGGAUCACUGUCAUCAUCCUCGUUUACGUCCUCGCUGGUGGCACCGGGGGUCGAGCUUGAGGACUCGUCCUUGUGAUCUUUCUUCCAUUUCAUCCUCCGGUUCUGGAACCAGAUUUUGAUUUGGCGUUCGGUCAGGCAGAGCACUUGUGCUAUCUCUACGCGCCUCCGACGGGUCAGGUACCGGUUGAAGUGGAAUUCUUUCUCCAUCUCCAGUGUCUGGUACCGGGAGUAGGUCUGACGUCCACGCUUUCGGUUUGGAUCUACAAGAGAAAAGGGUUUCAAUCUGCUAGGUCCAAGAAUAAAAAUACUAAAAUACUAAAACCAUGUUCUACACAAGCAUGACAUAUGUAAUAACUCUGAUAAUAUCAUGAUAUUGAUAAUGACAUAUGUAAUAACUCUGAUAAUAUCAUGAUAUUGAUAAUGACAUAUGUAAUAACUCUGAUAAUAUCAUGAUAUUGAUAAUGACAUAUGUGAUUUUGCAUUCAUGUAUUAUUUCUAUAGAAUUUAAUCAAUUAAUAAAUAAAAACAUUUUGUGCCUGUGACAUUGUUACUAAGAUGUCUUUCUCAAAAUGUUUUAGGACAGUCAAUGAUGUUUUGCCUCGUGUAGCCUAUAUACACUUCAAUAAACUUUUUUUAAAGACUUC
Long non-coding RNA from Oncorhynchus nerka (sockeye salmon), 809 nucleotides. RefSeq lists it as uncharacterized. The record is from RefSeq and is a predicted model, not a curated record. Lineage: Eukaryota; Metazoa; Chordata; Actinopteri; Salmoniformes; Salmonidae. The transcript is spliced from 2 exons.